UACGGGGGGGGCAAGCGUUGUUCGGAAUUACUGGGCGUAAAGGGCUCGUAGGCGGCCAACUAAGUCAGACGUGAAAUCCCUCGGCUUAACCGGGGAACUGCGUCUGAUACUGGAUGGCUCGAGUUUGGGAGAGGGAUGCGGAAUUCCAGGUGUAGCGGUGAAAUGCGUAGAUAUCGUGAGGAACACCAGAGGCGAAGGCGGCUACCUGGACAAUUGCUGACGCUCAGGCACGAAAGCGUGGGGAGCAAAAGGG
This 253-nucleotide ribosomal RNA is filed under the name uncultured bacterium. RNAcentral's name for it is "partial 16S ribosomal RNA". It matches the Rfam family "Bacterial small subunit ribosomal RNA", at positions 524 to 776 of the family's 1533-position model. The record is from RNAcentral.